AGGACGAACGCUGGCGGCGUGCUUAACACAUGCAAGUCGAACGAGGUGCUUGCACCUAGUGGCGAACGGGUGAGUAACACGUGAGCAACCUGCCCUUGGCUCUGGGAUAGCCUCCGGAAACGGGGAUUAAUACCGGACAUGACCUUCUCCUGCAUGGGGGAGGGUGGAAAGUUUUUCGGCCAGGGAGGGGCUCGCGGCCUAUCAGCUUGUUGGAGGGGUAACGGCCCACCAAGGCGACGACGGGUAGCCGGCCUGAGAGGGCGACCGGCCACACUGGGACUGAGACACGGCCCAGACUCCUACGGGAGGCAGCAGUGGGGAAUAUUGCGCAAUGGGCGAAAGCCUGACGCAGCGACGCCGCGUGGGGGAUGAAGGCCUUCGGGUUGUAAACCCCUUUCAGCAGGGACGAAGCGAAAGUGACGGUACCUGCAGAAGAAGCGCCGGCUAACUACGUGCCAGCAGCCGC
This 466-nucleotide ribosomal RNA is filed under the name uncultured bacterium. Its description in RNAcentral is "SSU rRNA". It matches the Rfam family "Bacterial small subunit ribosomal RNA", at positions 26 to 518 of the family's 1533-position model. The record is from RNAcentral.